This 497-nucleotide ribosomal RNA is filed under the name uncultured bacterium. Its description in RNAcentral is "partial 16S ribosomal RNA". It matches the Rfam family "Bacterial small subunit ribosomal RNA", at positions 28 to 507 of the family's 1533-position model. The record is from RNAcentral.
GAUGAACGCUGGCGGCGUGCCUAAUACAUGCAAGUCGAGCGAACAGACGAGGAGCUUGCUCCUCUGACGUUAGCGGCUGACGGGUGAGUAACACGUGGAUAACCUACCUAUAUUACUGGGAUAACUUCGGGAAACCGUAUCUAAUACCGGAUAAUAUAUUGAACCGCAUGGUUCAAUAGUGAAUGACGGUUUUUCUGUCUCUUAUAGCUGGAUCCGCGCCGCAUUAUCUAGUUGGUAAGGUAACGGCUUACCAAGGCGACGAUGCGUAGCCGACCUGAGAGGGUGAUCGGCCACACUGGAACUGAGACACGGUCCAGACUCCUACGGGAGGCAGCAGUAGGGAAUCUUCCGCAAUGGGCGAAAGCCUGACGGAGCAACGCCGCGUGAGUGAUGAAGGUCUUCGGAUCGUAAAACUCUGUUAUUAGGGAAGAAAAAAUGUGUAAGUAAAUAUGCACGUAUUGACGGUACCUAAUCAGAAAGCAACGGCUAACUACGUG